CCUACGGGAGGCUGCAGUGGGGAAUAUUGGGCAAUGGGCGCAAGCCUGACCCAGCAACGCCGCGUGAAGGAAGAAGGCUUUCGGGGUGUAAACUUCUUUUAAGAGGGAAGAGCAGAAGACGGUACCUCUUGAAUAAGCCACGGCUAACUACGUGCCAGAAGCCGCGGUAAUACGUAGGUGGCAAGCGUUGUCCGGAUUUACUGGGUGUAAAGGGCGUGCAGCCGGGAAGACAAGUCAGAUGUGAAAUCCCGCGGCUCAACCGCGGAACUGCAUUUGAAACUGUUUUUCUUGAGUACCGGAGAGGUCAUCGGAAUUCCUUGUGUAGCGGUGAAAUGCGUAGAUAUAAGGAAGAACACCAGUGGCGAAGGCGGAUGACUGGACGGCAACUGACGGUGAGGCGCGAAAGCGUGGGGAGCAAACAGGAUUAGAUACCCCAGUAGUC
RNAcentral lists this ribosomal RNA (442 nucleotides) under uncultured bacterium. RNAcentral describes it as "partial 16S ribosomal RNA". It matches the Rfam family "Bacterial small subunit ribosomal RNA", at positions 338 to 795 of the family's 1533-position model. The record is from RNAcentral.